UACCAGCUCUCCGAGUGGUAGGGAUGAUUAUUGGGCUUAAAGCGUCCGUAGCCGGCUUGGCAAGUUUCCUGUUAAACUCUGCGACUUAAUCGUUGAAUCGCGGGAAAUACUACUAGGCUAGGAGGCGGGAGAGGUCAACGGUACUUCUGGGGUAGGGGUGAAAUCCUAUAAUCCCGGGAGGACCACCAGUGGCGAAGGCUGUUGACUAGAGCGCGCUCGACGGUGAGGGACGAAAGCUGGGGGAGCGAACCGGAUUAGAUACCCGGGUAGUCCCAGCUGUAAACGAUGCGGGCUAGGUGUUGGGAUGGCUACGUGCCAUUUCAGUGCCGCAGGGAAGCCAUUAAGCCCGCCGCCUGGGGAGUACGGCCGCAAGGCUGAAACUUAAAGGAAUUGGCGGGGAGCACCACAAGGCGUGAAGCUUGCGGUUC
Molecule: ribosomal RNA, 428 nt
Filed under: uncultured archaeon
Lineage: Archaea
Description: bacterial SSU rRNA
Rfam family: Archaeal small subunit ribosomal RNA
Source: RNAcentral